RNAcentral lists this long non-coding RNA (1167 nucleotides) under Phoenix dactylifera (date palm). Its description in RNAcentral is "long non-coding RNA (PDAC_LNC007161)". The record is from RNAcentral. Lineage: Eukaryota; Viridiplantae; Streptophyta; Magnoliopsida; Arecales; Arecaceae.
UUUGCCCUUUGGUCAACUAAGGAAUGCUCUUAAAGCUUAAGCAAGAAAAAAAGAAUGUUCAAAAAGUAGCUUUGGUUGAAAUUAAGGAAUGAAAAUGCAUGGCCAAUCUUUUGGUGCAAUAAAUAAUAGCUUAACGAUCUAGAAAGUUUAUUCUGAAUUGGACUUCUGCAGGGACAAAUAACUUGCAGACUUGAACUGGUAUUGAAUUUCAAGGGUCCACAAAUAAAAUAAUAGACUUUUUUAAAUCAAAACAAGUAAAACUUUAGUUUUUUUUUUUAAAGUAUUAGCGGGGUUCAUUUCCUACCUUUUCUAACCCAUACCGCUAUGCAGGCUGACUCCAACCAGAGUCGAAAUCCAUCCCUCUUAUGCAAGUAGUAAGAGAUGAUAUAAUUAGAGUAAGCAAAUUCUUAAAAUUAGACUGAGCUACCCUUUAACCUGCCCUCACCAACGUUUGCAAAAAAUUGAAUGAUUUAAUAAAGCCUUGAACCAGUUCUCAAAGAAAAAAAUAAAAAAGCAAGAAAAAAACCUUAAACUAAAAGCCCAUUUUGUAUAGCUUUUGUUUUUAAGAAAAAUCUACAAAGAAAAAUGAACUAAAACCGAACGGUAUGUGUGAACAUGUUGCUUUUUAAAUUGUUUGUAAAUUUUUUUUUGUGUUUUUGGUAGCAAAGAUUACUUGCUUGUUUUUCUUUUUUAUGGUAGAAAAGGUUCGUAAGCAAUGAGUUACAAAAUUAGUAACCUCCCUUGAAUACCUCUAACUCUCCCAAACUUGAUGAGCUGAGGUUUGGAUGUCAAGAAGAGUGAAAAUAAUAUGGAAUAUCAUAAAUUUUGUGAAAAUAAAAGUAUGCAAUAGCAUAAAUUUUGUGCAAAUGUUAGAUUCAUCAAUAAAUAUGUGGCAUUCCACUAUUUUGUAAGCGCUAAAAGACAAAAAUAACAAUGGUACUAACAUGCUCUAGAUUUUGUGCUUGGAUUUUAAACCUACUUUGAGUCCUCUCAGGCUGAGCCUUGUUACUAGAUUUCUAUACCUCAAUUACUAAAAGAACAAUUUCAGAUGUUACCCAAAAUGGAAUUGUUUGUAGUCUACAAGCAAGCAUUCUUUUUCAUACCUAGGAAACAUAAUGAAGGAAAGUUAAGAGAUACUAUAGUUAAGCUUAGUUAAAGCAUGCUUUU